AAACCGGUGGUCUCCCUCCUCUAAGGUGUGAUCGGCAAUUCCACUCCCUGGUAUGUGCCCUACUGAGGCACCCACUCAAGUUCACCCAAAGGUUAUUUACAGCAGCAUGACCCACGAUCCCCUACGUUGGAGACAACUCAGACGUCCACGGUGGACUGGUUGCAGUAUGUCCAUCUGACGGAAUUCUGCACAGGAUUGAAAGAGACAACUGCAUACAGCUGGACGCCAAUGUGUGCACCUCGCACGUAUACAGCUGGGCAACAGCAGCCAUUCACAAGCAGCAGGAUGUAAGGAGGCUCCCCCUCAGGUGGUGCAGGUGGGGGCUGGAGCCUGAGGGCGUGCCCCCUUCCGGUUCGUGCAGGCGCCUGGCCACGCCCCUCUUUGUGCUGGCCCUGCCCUCACUGCAGCUGGACUCAGGUGAUACCAGCCGGCUUCUUCCCCCGCUAGACCACCAGCUGCUGGGAAUGCGGACUUUCUGAGCCGCUCCACCCGGUGUCUGGCACGCCACAGCUGCUGGGCAAGGAUGUCACGAGUGAAUUGAGAGAGGAAUGUUGAGCCAGAAGUGUCAUAGCCAGAUUUACUCAAUGCUGGUGAGUAAGUCCUGGGGAUUCUGCUGCAUCAUAACUUCCUUUGGGCUUGGAUGUCUUUUAGAUGGUAUGUUCUGAACAGUUGGAAGUUUCUUGGCCUCUGGGACUGAAACAGUGGAUGUUUGGUAGAUGCAUCCAGAAGGAAGUGGCUGGAAUGUGACUCGCGCGGCCCGCCUGAGUGCAGAUGGGGUAAACAGGCUUCAACGACCUCUGCUCAUUUAGAACCAGAGGAAGUUGGGAGCUGAAGCGUGAACAGCGGGGUGGAGGCUGGCCAAAGUCUGGAUGGCCCAAUUCUAGCUUUUUUCUCAUUACACGGGGAGCCCGUGACAAUGUCCCUGGAGCGUCUCAGGCUGACAAAAUCACCCCAUCAGCAUUUUCACUGGCAAUCAAUUAGGUGUGCCCUGGGCAACCCGUCCCCGGGGAGGAGAGCCAGGCCUGAUCUUCUCAGAGGGACAGCUGGGGGCGGGGGGGUUGGCCCAUGGCCCGGCGACAGUGGGUUGGGGCCAGGGGAGUCACAAAGGCGCGGUCGGGACAGCUUGGGGUUUGCACCGGGGCUGCCUAGGCCAGCACAAGGGUGUCUGAGACGACGGCGAGGUUCCGACCCCCGUAACGUUCUUCGGGGGUCGCGGCGAAGUUGGGACUCGCUCUGCAGCCAAACUGUGCUCCCAAGGGCAUGUCUGAGGCUGGCCACACGGGGCCACGUCGACGGCGGCACUGACGGACACGAGGGACAGGACGUGGGGCAGCUAUCUGCUAACAGCCAGGAAACCUCUCCAUAAGGGUAGAAGAGAAGGACACAAUUCUGUGAUGAGCUGGCGUUAAACCAGGAUGUGACGCACAGCACAGCCACUGCUGAAGCCACUGCAAAGACAGAAAGAAACCAGACUCUUUUCAGUAAGGAGCCUUUGCCGUUAGAGUCCAGUGACUCGUUCAGCCCAUUCCCCCCACCCCCCGCCCCCCAGGAAAUGGGUGAUGGGGAGUCACCUUCCCUGAAGAUCACAGUUCAAAUAGCUGGCUCCCAGGCCUUGAGGAGACAUUCCUGAGUGGUGAGACAGCCCAUUAAGAAGAUUUACAAACAUUUGGAAAGGACAGAGAAAGACAUUCUGGAAAGGGAGGGGAGGAGGAGCCUCAUCUCUUAUUUUCAGCAGGGAAGAGCUCCCAUCUGCCCUGGUAGCGCCCACCGGCCAGCCCUCGGGUGGCCCCUGGGCAGGUGGGGGUGUGGGCGGAUGGGAAGGUCCGCGCCAGGAGCAGACAGAAGGGCCCAGACUCUGCGCAGGACGUGGGGCGCAGCCGGCUGCAGCAGGGACCCCAGCCCUGAGACCAUUAAGCCGCGUGGCUACUGGACUUUGUGAGAGAUCAGUAGGGACCCGCCUGGGGCUACUGCCCAGCUGCUCCUCCGAGCCCACACGCUCUCGCAGGAAAAAGACUGAGGAGAUAAGCUAGGACUCUCUACCCACCGCCCAUAGCUGCCACAAGGAUGGAGAGCUCACCCGUGUCUCCCAUGACACCGUCUGUGCCGGCAAGCGCCCGGCACCUGCGUCCGGUGGGCGAGAGAUCUGAAGUCUCCGUAGAGAAGUGUGUGUGCACCCGGAAAGCGUCAUCAACAGGGAGACCAAACGCGAGGAGCUGGACAUUCUUUCUCUGCGAAAGAACAUCUGAUUGGAAAAAAAUGCAGCUCCAGGGACCUAAGCGUUUAUUUUGAAAUAACUUCAAACAGAAAAUUCAAGAAAAGUUGCAAGAAUAAAGAGGGGACUGUCUGUGUAGCUUCACUCUGACUUACUGAUUUCUUACAUUUUAUCCCAUUUCCUUCAACACUCACACUCUCUCUGAAGUGCUUUUAGAACCAACGGAAAGUAAGAGGGAGACCGCAUGUCCCUUCGCCUGUGAGUACCUCGGUGUGCAUAUCCUGGGAGCGUGGACUUUUCCCUGCAAAUCCUCAGUGCCACUGUCGGAUAAUAUAACACAAUCAUACGACCAACAGUC
Long non-coding RNA from Physeter macrocephalus (sperm whale), 2570 nucleotides. RefSeq lists it as uncharacterized. The record is from RefSeq and is a predicted model, not a curated record. NCBI's taxonomy places the organism in Eukaryota, Metazoa, Chordata, Mammalia, Artiodactyla, Physeteridae. The transcript has 4 exons.